This 444-nucleotide long non-coding RNA is filed under the name Theobroma cacao (cacao). RNAcentral's name for it is "long non-coding RNA (TCAC_LNC004033)". The record is from RNAcentral. Lineage: Eukaryota; Viridiplantae; Streptophyta; Magnoliopsida; Malvales; Malvaceae.
UGAGCCUUCAUCAUCAUCUGAAACACCUUCUUCAUUGAAUUCAAAUGACAUUUCCCUCAAUCCACCCUUCAAUGACAGCAUAUCACCUACUGCAGACAGUUUUAGUGUUGAUAUGAGUACUUCUCAAGAAGCAGUAGCACCAACUAGAAAAAGUACAAGACAAAAACAACCUCCUAAGUACCUUGAUGCAUAUUAUGUUGACAUACCUUCACAAUCUAAUUCUGUUACCCUUCAUCCAAUAACCAAGCACCUAUCAACUAAACAACUCUCACCUGCACAUAAGGCAUUUGCUAUUGCUUUGUCCCAUAUUCAUGAGCUAAAUUCUUGCCAUCAAGCUAUAAACUAUUCUCAUUGGAGAGAAGCAAUGGACCUGGAACUGAAAGCUUUGCAAGACAAUGGUACAUGGCCCAUAGUACCUCUGCCUUCAAAUUCACAUGUAAUUGG